This 253-nucleotide ribosomal RNA is filed under the name uncultured bacterium. Its description in RNAcentral is "partial 16S ribosomal RNA". It matches the Rfam family "Bacterial small subunit ribosomal RNA", at positions 524 to 776 of the family's 1533-position model. The record is from RNAcentral.
GACAGGGGUCUCGAGCGUUACUCGGAAUCACUGGGCUUAAAGGGUGCGUAGGCGGGCCUGUAAGUGUCCUGUGAAAUCCCCCGGCUCAACCGGGGAACUGCGGGGCAUACUGCGGGUCUUGAGGAGGGUAGGCGCCGAGGGAACAGUAGGUGGAGCGGUGAAAUGCGUAGAUAUCUACUGGAACGCCGAUGGUGAAGACGCUCGGCUGGGCCUUUCCUGACGCUGAGGCACGAAAGCGUGGGGAGCAAACAGG